Biomphalaria pfeifferi is the source of this 636-nucleotide non-coding RNA. The record is from the annotation of a GenBank genome assembly. Lineage: Eukaryota; Metazoa; Mollusca; Gastropoda; Planorbidae.
UUCCUCUUUCCCCUAUCUGGUCACUGUCUUCCUCGUUCCCCUCUCUGGUCAGUGUCUUCCUCUUUCCCCAGUCACUUCUUCUCACUCAUCUGUCCUAUCUCUGGUGACUCACCGCCCCACCUCACUCGAUAUCUCUGGUAUGGGUUGGGUUGGGUUAACCGUUGUCAUGUUAAUAUUUUCAAUUGACUGUUUAUGCACUUCUCAUAAUAGUUGUGAAAAGCCUCUGGCUAACCAACAGGCCAGAUUAGUCAGUGGUAUCGAUAUCUUGGUAUCCUCCAGUCUCAUGGCACCGGGCCGUUAGGCUUAGGAAGCGAUAAGUGGGAGGGGCGGCGGCAUAAUGCAAAAAAAUCACUGAACCCUUUGAAAAUCUAUAAUCAAUCAAUCUAAUGGCUGGGUUCUAAAGAGAGUAAGAUAACAUUGAUAGAGAAAGGAGACGGGUUGAAAGGGAGGGGGGCACUCUGUAAUCACAAUAAAUAAACGCAUGUCAAACUAAGAAAUCUUAGCACAGGCCUGCAUCAAUAAUAGCUUGUUAUUGUUAGGAUCAUGAACAAUCCAUCAGGUGUCCAACAGUUUGACUAUAAAUAACGCAACCAAAUCCAAUUCAAUAGCUAAAAUAUACUUUUUUUUUUUUUUUUU